UACGGAGGGUGCAAGCGUUAAUCGGAAUUACUGGGCGUAAAGCGUGCGCAGGCGGUUUUGCAAGCCGGAUGUGAAAUCCCCGGGCUUAACCUGGGAAUGGCAUUUGGGACUGCAAGGCUGGAGUGCGGCAGAGGAGACUGGAAUUCCUGGUGUAGCAGUGAAAUGCGUAGAUAUCAGGAGGAACACCGAUGGCGAAGGCAGGUCGCUGGGCUGACACUGACGCUCAUGCACGAAAGCGUGGGGAGCAAACAGG
This 253-nucleotide ribosomal RNA is filed under the name uncultured bacterium. RNAcentral's name for it is "partial 16S ribosomal RNA". It matches the Rfam family "Bacterial small subunit ribosomal RNA", at positions 524 to 776 of the family's 1533-position model. The record is from RNAcentral.